This is a non-coding RNA of Nicotiana tabacum (common tobacco), 947 nucleotides long. NCBI's taxonomy places the organism in Eukaryota, Viridiplantae, Streptophyta, Magnoliopsida, Solanales, Solanaceae. The record is from RefSeq and is a predicted model, not a curated record.
UUCACGCCAUGAAUACAGUCGAAUACAAUAAUCUGCCUAGUUGUAAUCUCAUAUUUCAUGUCAUGAAUACAGUCGAAUACACUCGAAUACAACAACUGAAUAGCUGGACUUCCGAAUACAGUAGCUUAAAUACAUCUAAUACAUCUUAUAACAACAGAAAACGUACAAUUCGUAAUAUAGCAGAUGAUAUCUAUAUAUAGCUAAUUAACUAAAAUAUAGUGUUUUAUCACUCUAGAAACCAAGCCCGACCCAAAUACAACCUAGUAAAAUGUCCACCGCCGGAAGCCGCCACCUCCUCCGCUUACGCCUCUCCUGCCGUAAAAUCACGGCACAAGUGACAACAACCACCACCGACACAAUCGUGGCAAUGGCUUCAUCAUCGGAGCAAGAGUUUGCGGCGCAGUGUAAAGCCAGGCUGAACCGAGUGCCUAGGUUUCGCAAUUUGUGGGACGCGAAGAUCUCUUCUAGAGUCGGAGAGAAGCUCGGUGAUCGGCUUAAUGAAGUUAAAGUCUAUAACGUGGAGAUUGAUGUUGAAGAAGAGGUGAAUCGGCCUGUUCAUUAUCGCAAAAUGGUGGCGCCGCUUUUUGAGUCCGUUAAGGGCAAGGGUAUUGCUGUAGUUGGAGCUGACAAAUUGGGCUUCUUCUAGUUAUUAUUGUCAAUUUUGUGCUUCCUCUCUAGCAAGGCUUGCUCCCCUUCAAGCAGUACUAUUUGACAUUGAUGGAACUUUAUGUGAUUCUGAUCCAUUUCAUUAUCUUGCAUUCUGUGAAAUGCUUCUGGAGAUAGGCUACAAUGGGGGUGUGCCAGUUGAUGAGGAGUGGUUUGUCAAGACUAUUUCUGGGAAACACAAUGACGAUCUUGUCUCUGUCUUUUUCCCUAAUGAUCAUGAAAGGGGUGUAAAAUUCUUAGAUGACAAGGAAGCUUUGUUUAGAAGGUUGGCAAAAGAACAA